Molecule: non-coding RNA, 1060 nt
Organism: Parasteatoda tepidariorum (common house spider)
Lineage: Eukaryota; Metazoa; Arthropoda; Arachnida; Araneae; Theridiidae
Source: RefSeq, a predicted model, not a curated record
GGUUGUGAGAUUAUUGGCCUAAACUCUAGUCUAAAAAAGGUCAUAGGGUGUUAAAUCGCAUGAUCUUAGGAUUUAAUUUUGAUCACCAAAACACGAAUUACGUGACAGGAGUAUUCUACAACAUUAUUCAACGAUAAACGCAUCAAUCUUUCGUGCUUCUGACCUCUCAUACUAACCCUGAACUGUCAGCUGUACCGCUGACAACAUUUUAUCGAACAUCAAAUGUAGCGUAAACUACGGGAUACGUGUUUUUUUUGUAAAACUACAUUUUUAAAUUUGAUUACGCAGUACUACGAUUCAACAUGAAAAUAAUUCUGAUUUAGUUCAAUAUCUUACAUUGCUUGCAGCACAUUUGCCUGAUAGUGCUGUUUACAAAGUUAAUUAAUCGUUUGCCGAGUGAUUUAGAACCAAAUUUCGCAAAUUAAUUGCAGUUUUCAACAGUAGAGAAUAGUUAAUUUAUUAAUAGUUUGCUUAUAUAUUAGUUACAUUUAUCAGAGUUUCAAAGUGUGCUUCAAGAAUUCAAACAAAUGUGUGCUUUCUAUUUGUUCCAUAUUAUUUAAUAUUUCUGUUUAAAGAAGAACUGAAAAUAAAUUUUAUUUAUCUGAAUACUAUUUCUUAACCUAAGCAUCUGUCAAAAUUUAAUACUCAUUAUUAUUAUUUUUACAUGUGAUAUUUAUUUCGAAAAUUAAAUUUUUUUUUUUGCUAAUUAGGAAAACGCUGCUUGCGUGACAACACUGCCCCUUCUGGAAAAUAUACAUUUACAUGCCCUUGUGCCGAAGGAUUGAGUUGUGUUUCCGAAAGAGUCACACAAAAUAAAUUCGGCAAAGUCAGAAAUAAUGAGAGAUGCAGGGCUCCUUCUGCUUCAACAGUACCACCUACAGAGGGCGUAACAGAGGAAGAUCCGAAAGUGGACAGUGAUGAAAGUACUGAGGGAAGUUCUGAAGAAAAACGAUAAAGUUUUCAAUGUAUACAAUAUAUAACUGCACAGUACAAUGUACACAAUAUCUAACUGUUCAUUAUUAAAAUAAAUAAACACUGUGUGUGUAAGUUUUCUGGUUCA